Daldinia bambusicola is the source of this 132-nucleotide non-coding RNA. The record is from the annotation of a GenBank genome assembly. NCBI's taxonomy places the organism in Eukaryota, Fungi, Ascomycota, Sordariomycetes, Xylariales, Hypoxylaceae.
GCCCGGUUAGCUCAAUCGGUAGAGCGUGAGACUCUUAAUCUCAAGGUUGCGGGUAAGUUCUUAAUGUACUCUACACGUCUUGUAUUACACACAACUAACAUGUUCCCAAAGGUUCGACCCCCGCAUCGGGCU